AUUGAACGCUGGCGGCAGGCCUAACACAUGCAAGUCGAGCGGAUGAAGGGAGCUUGCUCCUGGAUUCAGCGGCGGACGGGUGAGUAAUGCCUAGGAAUCUGCCUGGUAGUGGGGGAUAACGUCCGGAAACGGGCGCUAAUACCGCAUACGUCCUGAGGGAGAAAGUGGGGGAUCUUCGGACCUCACGCUAUCAUAUGAGCCUAGGUCGGAUUAGCUAGUUGGUGGGGUAAAGGCCUACCAAGGCGACGAUCCGUAACUGGUCUGAGAGGAUGAUCAGUCACACUGGAACUGAGACACGGUCCAGACUCCUACGGGAGGCAGCAGUGGGGAAUAUUGGACAAUGGGCGCAAGCCUGAUCCAGCCAUGCCGCGUGUGUGAAGAAGGUCUUCGGAUUGUAAAGCACUUUAAGUUGGGAGGAAGGGCAGUAAGUUAAUACCUUGCUGUUUUGACGUUACCCACAGAAUAAGCACCGGCUAACUUCGUG
Molecule: ribosomal RNA, 484 nt
Filed under: uncultured bacterium
Lineage: Bacteria
Description: partial 16S ribosomal RNA
Rfam family: Bacterial small subunit ribosomal RNA
Source: RNAcentral